CGAACGCUGGCGGCGUGCUUAACACAUGCAAGUCGAACGGAAAGGCCCUGCUUUUGGGGGGUGCUCGAGUGGCGAACGGGUGAGUAACACGUGAGUAACCUGCCCUUGACUUUGGGAUAACUUCAGGAAACUGGGGCUAAUACCGGAUAGGAGCUCCUGCUGCAUGGUGGGGGUUGGAAAGUUUCGGCGGUUGGGGAUGGACUCGCGGCUUAUCAGCUUGUUGGUGGGGUAGUGGCUUACCAAGACUUUGACGGGUAGCCGGCCUGAGAGGGUGACCGGCCACAUUGGGACUGAGAUACGGCCCAGACUCCUACGGGAGGCAGCAGUGGGGAAUAUUGCACAAUGGGCGGAAGCCUGAUGCAGCAACGCCGCGUGCGGGAUGACGGCCUUCGGGUUGUAAACCGCUUUCGCCUGUGACGAAGCGUGAGUGACGGUAAUGGGUAAAGAAGCACCGGCUAACUACGUG
This 466-nucleotide ribosomal RNA is filed under the name uncultured bacterium. RNAcentral describes it as "partial 16S ribosomal RNA". It matches the Rfam family "Bacterial small subunit ribosomal RNA", at positions 30 to 507 of the family's 1533-position model. The record is from RNAcentral.